AUUUUCUUAGUAUAAUAGUAUAAAUGAUUUCCAAUCAUUAGGCUUUGGUUAGACCCCAAGAGAGAAUA
This is a transfer RNA of 68 nucleotides. It matches the Rfam family "tRNA". From Rfam's summary of the family: Transfer RNA (tRNA) molecules are approximately 80 nucleotides in length. Their secondary structure includes four short double-helical elements and three loops (D, anti-codon, and T loops).